UGGAAUUCAGCAGAGCUUCAAUCUGGAC
Molecule: non-coding RNA, 28 nt
Filed under: Bombyx mori (domestic silkworm)
Lineage: Eukaryota; Metazoa; Arthropoda; Insecta; Lepidoptera; Bombycidae
Source: RNAcentral